CUGAUAUAAUGCUCGCCGCUCCAUUUUUACCAGCAGUUGCCUUUACCACAUCGGAGGGUAAACAUAUAACGCAAAACGAACAAGAAUGUGCGACCACGAGCCCCGCCCGGUCGACACGCGCGCCAUCUGUGAGCAGGAAGCGGAAGUAGUGGAGGCGGCGGACCCAUGGCAGGAAUUCUAUGGCGAUUCGCUCUUCCUGAAGCGGGACUGGGAUCUGGAGGACUGGCGAAGCUACUAUGAUAAGAUGCCCGGUUGGGACGGAUGCGAGGGAACCGGAGUGGGCGUCUCUCACUUCGCCGAGGAGGUCUUCAGGAGGCGAGAGGCCAGCAGGGCGUUCUUCCCUCUCUGCGGCCGGACGGAAGACAUGAAGUGGGCCUACGACCUGGACACCCGUCGUGGGUCUGGACGGCGUGGAGAAACCGGUCAGGCACUUCUUCGAAAAGCACCAGGACCUCGAGCACAGCGUGGAGGAGCUCGAGUACGGAAAAUUGUACAAGAGCAAGGACCGACGCCUGCAGGUCUUCGUGUGUGACAUCAGGGACAUCGCCCUCGUGGUUCUCGGAAAGUUCGACGUCGUGGUGGACUGCGGGGCCUUCACGUCCAUCCACCCGCGAGACAGGGCCAAGUAUGUCGAGACGGUGACGUCAACGCUGCAAAAAGACUACAGGUAUUUUCUCGAAGUCUGCCACGGGGCGCCGCCAUCUGCAACGGGCCAACCCAACUCGAUAUCUUUCCGCGAGGUCAAAAGAGAAUUUGAGAAGGAAACCAUUUCCUUACGGAGCUUUUAAGGAAAAGGAUUAACACGAAUCUCACUUCGCAGGACCCUCGAGGAAACUAAAAUUCUUAAGCACCGAAGAUAUUAGCGAAGAAUGGGCCGUCGACACGUUCUUCCAGACCUACCUCGUCAUGGAACCCAAA
Penaeus vannamei (Pacific white shrimp) is the source of this 918-nucleotide non-coding RNA. Lineage: Eukaryota; Metazoa; Arthropoda; Malacostraca; Decapoda; Penaeidae. The record is from RefSeq and is a predicted model, not a curated record.